UAGGGAAUAUUGCAAAAUGGGCGAAAGCCCGAUGCAGCAACGCCGCGUGGGCGAUGAAGGCCUUCGGGUCGUAAAGCCCUUUUUGAGGGGAUGAGGAAGGACAGUACCCUCAGAAUAAGCCUCGGCUAACUACGUGCCAGCAGCCGCGGUAAAACGUAGGAGGCGAGCGUUAUCCGGAUUUACUGGGCGUAAAGCGCGUGCAGGCGGAUUGGAGAGUUGGAUGUGAAAGCUCCCGGCUUAACUGGGAGAGGUCGUUCAAUACUUCCAGUCUUGAGUGCAGUAGAGGGAAGUGGAAUUCCGGGUGUAGUGGUGAAAUGCGUAGAUAUCCGGAGGAACACCAGAGGCGAAAGCGGCUUCCUGGACUGUAACUGACGCUCAGACGCGAAAGCGUGGGGAGCAAACA
RNAcentral lists this ribosomal RNA (403 nucleotides) under uncultured bacterium. Its description in RNAcentral is "bacterial SSU rRNA". It matches the Rfam family "Bacterial small subunit ribosomal RNA", at positions 355 to 774 of the family's 1533-position model. The record is from RNAcentral.